UGAUCCUGGCUCAGAUUGAACGCUGGCGGUAGGCUUAACACAUGCAAGUCGUGCGAGAAAGUAUCUUCGGAUAUGAGUAGAGCGGCGGACGGGUGAGUAACGCGUAGGAAUCUACCUAGUAGAAGGGGAUAGCCCGGGGAAACCCGGAUUAAUACCGUAUACCUCCUUCGGGAGAAAGAAGGCCUCUCUUUGAAGCUUUCGCUACUAGAUGAGCCUGCGUAAGAUUAGCUUGUUGGUGAGGUAAAGGCUCACCAAGGCGACGAUCUUUAGCUGGUCUGAGAGGACGAUCAGCCACAUUGGGACUGAGACACGGCCCAGACUCCUACGGGAGGCAGCAGUGGGGAAUAUUGGACAAUGGGCGCAAGCCUGAUCCAGCCAUACCGCGUGUGUGAAGAAGGCCUUCGGGUUGUAAAGCACUUUAAGCAGGGAGAAAAAGUUAUAAGUUAAUACCUUAUAACCCUGAUGUUACCUGCAGAAUAAGCACCGGCUAAUUCCGUGCCAGCAGCCGCGGUAAUACGGAAGGUGCAAGCGUUAAUCGGAAUUACUGGGCGUAAAGCGCGCGUAGGUGGUUUGUUAAGUUGGAUGUGAAAGCCCUGGGCUUAACCUAGGAACUGCAUCCAAAACUAACUCACUAGAGUACGAUAGAGGGAGGUAGAAUUCAUAGUGUAGCGGUGGAAUGCGUAGAUAUUAUGAAGAAUACCAGUGGCGAAGGCGGCCUCCUGGAUCUGUACUGACACUGAGGUGCGAAAGCGUGGGUAGCGAACAGGAUUAGAUACCCUGGUAGU
This 785-nucleotide ribosomal RNA is filed under the name uncultured marine bacterium. Its description in RNAcentral is "bacterial SSU rRNA". It matches the Rfam family "Bacterial small subunit ribosomal RNA", at positions 14 to 794 of the family's 1533-position model. The record is from RNAcentral.